AUGGUGUACGUUCGAGGGGUACGAGAAAAUUACAAAGUAAACAAAAAUCAGUAUCUAAGUAAAGGGGGAGUCAGGAGUAUUGCUACUACAGAUCUCUUAGUAUUUGUCUUGAGAAGGAGAUAUGGAGUGGAGGUUGGUUAUAUAGUGCAUGAUCGCAUGGGUAUGAUUCAUCUGCGGUCACCGAAUUUUUAGCAAAAAUUUUAUUGCGUCACUAAACUUUGAUUUGUUUCAAUAGAGUUACUAAACUUCAAUUUAGAUUUUAAUUGAGUAUUAAACUUAAAUUUAAUUUCAAGUGUGGCCUCUUUCAAAUUGAUGAAAAUUGCUUAAUUUGAAGUAUUGGAUCUUUUAUGCAAUUGCUGUGCGUCCGUGUAUGAAAUUUACCAUGAGAGGAGACAAAAAGUGAUGGAUAUUUCUACAUCCACGUAAUUUGAUAUGGCC
Molecule: long non-coding RNA, 438 nt
Filed under: Olea europaea (common olive)
Lineage: Eukaryota; Viridiplantae; Streptophyta; Magnoliopsida; Lamiales; Oleaceae
Description: long non-coding RNA (OEUR_LNC012075)
Source: RNAcentral